GGGCCCAUAGCUCAGUUGGUUAGAGCAUCUGACUCAUAAUCAGAGGGUCCGGGGUUCGAGUCCCUGUGGGCCCA
RNAcentral lists this transfer RNA (74 nucleotides) under Bacteroidota bacterium. RNAcentral's name for it is "Bacteroidetes bacterium (groundwater metagenome) tRNA-Ile". It matches the Rfam family "tRNA". From Rfam's summary of the family: Transfer RNA (tRNA) molecules are approximately 80 nucleotides in length. Lineage: Bacteria; Pseudomonadati; Bacteroidota. The record is from RNAcentral.